Molecule: long non-coding RNA, 1759 nt
Organism: Thunnus maccoyii (southern bluefin tuna)
Lineage: Eukaryota; Metazoa; Chordata; Actinopteri; Scombriformes; Scombridae
Exons: 4
Source: RefSeq, a predicted model, not a curated record
AAUAACACUGAAAAUUGAGCUUAUUUUUUAAAUGUUCGACUGUUAUUAUUUUUGCUUUACUGCUCCGUGAAUUCCUAUUAGCGGCCCAACUGCACAGCGGGUGUGAUGGUGGGCACAUUUUCACCUGAGAAAACGGCAGGUGACAGCAGCAGACGUGCAAAGGCUGAAAACCAUGGCAGUCGGUCGGUUUCCACUGUUGAUGAAUAAAUAACAGGACAAUAGAGAUCACAGUCGCUGUAUCAUGUAACCCAGACGUUCACAAACUUAACAAACUCCAUUUAAUUUGAUUUUUAGGGCUAUCUUGGUUUUUUUUUCUUAGAAUAUGUGAUUUUAUAUGUAGUUUACUGUUGGUGAGAUUCAUAAAACCUACUAAAAUAAUAAACUAUAAUAAUUGCAUGUGUUAAUUUCAUAAUGGUGCAAUUCAGCUUGUUUGUGGACCAUGAAGUACCCCCACACAUGAACCCUAGUGGUCCUCAGGCCCUAUUUUGGGGUCCAUUCUCAACAUCAAGGCAACACAUCACAUAUUCCAGAAAACAUCAAUAUGUAAACACAAUUUAAAAAAAUACAUUAUCUCAGCAAUACAAGUUUUCUUCCACACAUCUUACAUUGUCCAUCAUUGACUGACUGCCUCAGCUGUGGACCAGAGCAUAAAGCCAGCUGACAGCAGUAACCAACUCUAUCAUCUCCACUAGAGGGAGGGCUAUCUCACAACAAGGCCACCAAGGAGCUGCAGCAGAGGCCAGCUCCCCCUGUGGUGCCACAACAGUGAAGUGACCUUGUCACCAGGGUGCCAUGUGUCACAGUGGGGGGACCCAGUGGGAGAGGAUGGGGUGAACAGAUCAUCUCCCUGCAUGCCUGGUACCAGUGCCCUACCCUUCCUGCUCCCACCACAGGCCCAGCACCAGAGAGGCCGGUGCAGGGAGAGGAGCAGCUCCAGGCUCUGGAGAACAUGACUCCAAUUAAGCUGUGGAAGCCUGGCUCACGCUCCAGUGCCUCAGCCCAGUUGUCCUAGACAGCGAGACACAGCCAACCCAGGGAAAUGAACUCUGCCAGCAUAGUCAAGAUAGUCACUGAGAGAGUUAGAUUCUGCUUUACAAACAAUUUUUAGGAGAUAAGGACUCAUUGGGAUCAAUCAAGAACUGCAGAAUGAAACUGAACAUGAAAUCACAAUGAUGAUUAUUACAGUUUUGAUAAAACAAAUAAUUUAAAAAUUAAACCAAAAACCACAAGGAAAGAGAAACAGAGAUGAUAGCUUGUUUUCUGUUUUGAGAGCCCCAGAGAAAAAAUGCAGAGUUAAGCACACAGUAAUAGAUGAGAGCGAUUGAGAGGCCUCGUUUUCCCCUGUGAUUAAAAAUGUAUGUUGCCACACGCAGCCUUUGGUGUGGAACUCUCCUGGAAAAGGAGCUGGUUAAUAUUCAGGCCCAUGUCUGGCUAAUGUCUUAAAGUGAUAAAUAGGAGGGGGUUGCUGCCGUUUGAUUGUUCUUCACAGGCAGUCUGGGAGCAGCAGCACAGGGGGAUUUAAGGUGGAGGAAUCCUCUCAAAGCUCCUCAUUCAUUCACUCUCAGACGCCCCAUCAUUAAUUGGGCCUGUCGACAUGACUCCUCUGUACCCAGGGCCACUGGCAGCUACCAUGGUGGAUGAGCUUUUUAAGACAGUUCAAAAGAGUCCUUGCCUCAUGAAAGGCAUUCAAAUUACAUGAAAUUGCAUUCAUGUCAAGCCUUGCAGGCAUAUUCAUACAGUACACUGGCAUAAUGUCUUG